This 1902-nucleotide unclassified non-coding RNA is filed under the name Leishmania donovani. RNAcentral's name for it is "gene:LdHU3.25.2270(CDS-product:Domain_of_unknown_ function_(DUF1935)_putative)". The record is from RNAcentral. Lineage: Eukaryota; Euglenozoa; Kinetoplastea; Trypanosomatida; Trypanosomatidae.
GAGUGCCUAGCACCGCCACCACACGUGUCCAGCUGUGAGCCAGAACUGCACUUCGCCACGCACUCGGAACAGCAACGCCAAGCAAAACAGACGAGUGUCCCAUCACGAGCGCCACCUAUCUUUACGUCGCACAAAUAACAAUAGCACACGCGUGUGGCUCAGAGAAGCAACAAUGGGCUGCGGCUACUCUACGUACUCAGCGCAGGACGAUAUCGUGUGGAAGUACGGCGGCCCACCGGAGGAGCCGCUGAAGGCACUGAAGAUGUUCCCUAAGAAGCAGAACGGUCUUCUCUUUCGUCUUCUGUACGACGACGGUGAGCGCUGGGCCUUCUACAACGACACCCUCGAGUACGAGUUCCACAUCCGCUACUACUUUAGCCGCGACAGCGACAUCGAGGCGCUGCACAACGCCACCUUGUCGGAGCUGGAAAAUGGCAACAAGCUAGUCGAGAUCAUCGUCUACCCGAAGGAGACGCAAGACUUCAUUGUAGGUGUGGCGGGCAGCUACACCAGCACCAUCGAGGCUAUACCCCUCACCGAGCGCUUUCAGUGGGAGAAGACCAAGGAAAAGUACGAGCACAAGCAGUCGAGGCGGAAGUAGUAGCUCCCCGAUCCACCACCUCCCACGCCCCCACUCACCUACUCGGUGGCAUAUUAGUCCGCACUGAUGGCUGCCCUUCGCCCUCCCCUCCCCUCCCUCUCCUCUCAGUUCCGCUACAGACAGCUAAUUACAGCCGUCCUUGUGCAUCGCAUAGUUAUCCUCUCUCUUUUUGUGUUCUCUCUUGAGGCUGCUUUCUGUGUUUUGUGGUGACUCUGCCCCCCCCCACCCCCACCCCCACACACGCACAUCACGCCACAGGCCCUCUCCACUUUAUGGUUGUGUAUUCUUUUCCCCAUCUCUCCGUCUGUAUGCCCUGCGCCGUUGGGCUGACCUGCUCACCGCUCGUUCUUCUCUCUUGCAUGCCUUUUCGUUUUGUGCGCCUCAUGGGGGCAGCGCCUUACACCCACUCACACAGACACACACACACAUCGGCUCACAGGCGCCGACUGUCGCUUGCACGAAGGCAGGAGGCGCUCCGUCCCUUUCCUAGCCCUCCUCCUCUCCCAUCACCGCCCUCGUCUUUAUUCUCUUACAUCGCCUCUCACAGUCGUCUGUGUGUGUGUGUGUGUGUGUGUGUGUGUGUGUUACAGAGUUGGAUCUUUUUUUUAUGUGCCGUGUGUUGCUGCUUGUCCUGCCCUCCGGCGCUGUCGAAAAUAUAUACGGGCCUACGUGUGGGCGGGGUGGGGGUGGGGAGAUGCGAGUGAAAGCGUGAGGGGGAAUCGGAAGGGAGCAAGGGGCGUGCAUGUGACGUCAUUCAUUGUGUUACACUGCGCGCAUGCGCACAACGUAAACAUGUCCCCUUUAACCCCUACCCGCCCACCCUCGCCCCGCCUUAUAUGUAUCUGGCUUCAACCCGCUCCCCUCCCCUCACCCACACACACCCUCUUGACAUCGUUCGCAUCAUUCAGGUUCAUCACUAUUUCUCGUCCCCUUUUUGUUCUUGUGCCGGAUUGUGAACACGCGUGUGCGUGUGCGGCUCCCACGGGCGCACUCUUACGGACGGAGGACACAUGCUCACACAGACGCACAUAUAUAUAUAUAUGUGUGUGUGUGCGGGACUGAAUAGCAGGUCCUGCAUGCACACAUGGGCACGCCUCUUUCCCCACCCCUCUCCAUCUCUUCUGUCCCGUCACUCAUGUAUCCUACCGUUCUCGUUUUCGUUGUUUUCCAUCCUGUGCUUCGUUUCUGUUUUCUUGUCGGGGGUGUGGGGGAGGGUUGUCCUCCCCUCCCCUCACCCCCCCCCACACCUCAGCCUCUCUGUCUGCAUGUUUGUGCGUGUGUGUGUGUGUGCCUCAGAACUC